RNAcentral lists this small RNA (1233 nucleotides) under Malus domestica (apple). Its description in RNAcentral is "sRNA MD12G0179600". Lineage: Eukaryota; Viridiplantae; Streptophyta; Magnoliopsida; Rosales; Rosaceae. The record is from RNAcentral.
GCUUUUCCUUUCAUCCACACGCUUUACUGUUCCCAAGUCCGGAUGCUUCCGCACCCUUUGAUCCACAAGCACCUCUUCUUUUCGCUCCGUUUCGUUGCUUUCUCCUCCACGGUUUAGUUCUUGCUUCAGUAACAAUCAGACACGUCCCCACACCUUUUCCUUCUUGCUGCAGUUAAGCUUUCCUCCUCCACCACUCAGUUCUUGCUUCAGUUCGAAUCAAUUUUACCACCCAAAAACCCAGAUCGCUGUUGCUCAUCCAAAACCCACACAGCCGCCACCGCCACUUCAUCCAUCACCACGUUUUACGGAUUCCUGUUGACUGAAGACCGUUCCCGGUUCCCGCAACAGCCUCUGGUGUGUCUUCUACAACUCCUACAUCGACGAGCUAGAUAGCUGCUUUGCCUGGUCUCCACCCCACAUUUAACAAGUUCAAAUUCCAUAGAAGUCGGUUCUGCAGAUUGUGUCUGCAAUUAGAUCAGAGAUGAACUGCUCUUUUGUUAUCAUGCGGAAGAUUGCUUUUGGGAAGGAUCUGAAGCAGUUCCUAUAUGUGAUUGCUGACCUGUGACUUUGUUUGGAGCUCACGUGGCUCCCGUUGGAUUCAGUAUGCUUGAGCUACUGCCAAUCUAUAGGUUGGGUGCCACUUUAAAUGUAGGAAAAUUAAAAAAAAGGAUCUUCAGUUGCUGUUUUUGGACUUGACUAUGUUGGCUUCACUUAUUUGAAACCUUUUCAGUCGAACAAGAUUAGAGUUCAAAUAUGAAGAUUUGGAGACCCAAAGUAAUCGGAUCUCAUGAUCGAAUUGGUGGUUUUCUAAGCAUAUUACUUAAUUAUAUGGUAACAAAACUGAAAAAGAAUCAUCAAUUGCUCUUUUUUUGACUUGGCUCCGGUGGCCUCGCUCGUAACAGAUGACUCGGCUUGACUUCAAUACCAAGAGGUUUAAAAAAGUUCCUAGUUCUGGAAGGUCUGGAGGUCUUUGUGCUAUGUGGAAGACGGAAGCUAAUCUAUUGUUACGAUCCUACUCUUCUAAUCAUAUUGAUCUGGAAGUAGGAGGGGUGGGUGAUGACAUUCACUGGAGAGUUACCUUCUUUUAUGGUUUUCCGGCGGAGGGAGAUAGGCAUAAAUCUUGGAGUUUGCUUCGACAGUUAAAAGAUAAUUCUAAUUUGCCAUGGUGCUGCAUGGGGGACUUUAAUGAGGUUUUUUGUGCGGAGGAACAGGAAGGAGGGGAUAUUCGUAGUG